UUCGGGGCAGGUCUUUUCAGUCCUGGGCUGGUUGGAGUGUACUGUGGGGGGGUUCCUGGAAAACUUUUAAGUGUCAAAGACUAUUUGGUCUUACACAAUUAGACGCUGUGUAGCGGUGGUUCACAAUAGAGUUUUGCAUUCAGGAGUCACUGGAGCUGUAAAGCUUAUUGUACCAGCAAGAUAAGCAGGCUUGGCAAGAAUGAUAGCCAUUUGGUGCUCGCCAGAUCGCCCAGCUGAAAAACUGGGUACCGACAAUGCUCGGCUUUGGGAGGCGUUGGAGGCCUGGCGCUUCUCUACAUCACUGACUGGAAGGCAGUCUGCCAGUUCAUACCGAUCUACAACAAGAAGUUCAAAGAGAAGUGAAGAUUAACCACAGACAUCGCGAAUGGCGUCAAUAAGUGCGGAAUGGUUUACGCAUCUUGGAUGAAGAGCGUAACCUGUGGUAUGUCGGGUAUGUGAAAAAUAUAUGUGAUUUUAGCUA
This is a long non-coding RNA of Pollicipes pollicipes, 481 nucleotides long. RefSeq lists it as uncharacterized. The record is from RefSeq and is a predicted model, not a curated record. The transcript has 4 exons. Lineage: Eukaryota; Metazoa; Arthropoda; Thecostraca; Pollicipedomorpha; Pollicipedidae.